This 491-nucleotide ribosomal RNA is filed under the name uncultured bacterium. RNAcentral's name for it is "partial 16S ribosomal RNA". It matches the Rfam family "Bacterial small subunit ribosomal RNA", at positions 28 to 507 of the family's 1533-position model. The record is from RNAcentral.
GAUGAACGCUGGCUACAGGCUUAACACAUGCAAGUCGAGGGGAAACGACGGGGAAGCUUGCUUCCCCGGGCGUCGACCGGCGCACGGGUGAGUAACGCGUAUCCAACCUGCCUCUGACUGAGGGAUAACCCGUCGAAAGUCGGCCUAAUACCUCAUGGCAUCGUCUGCGGGCAUCCAACGACGAUUAAAGAUUUCAUCGGUCAGGGAUGGGGAUGCGUCUGAUUAGCUUGUUGGCGGGGUAACGGCCCACCAAGGCUACGAUCAGUAGGGGUUCUGAGAGGAAGGUCCCCCACAUUGGAACUGAGACACGGUCCAAACUCCUACGGGAGGCAGCAGUGAGGAAUAUUGGUCAAUGGGCGGGAGCCUGAACCAGCCAAGAAGCGUGCAGGAUGACGGCCCUAUGGGUUGUAAACUGCUUUUAUGCGGGGAUAAAGUGAGGGACGUGUCCUUCAUUGCAGGUACCGCAUGAAUAAGGACCGGCUAAUUCCGUG